UACGUAGGGUGCGAGCGUUAAUCGGAAUUACUGGGCGUAAAGCGUGCGCAGGCGGUUUUGUAAGCCGGAUGUGAAAUCCCCGGGCUUAACCUGGGAAUGGCAUUUGGGACUGCAAGGCUGGAGUGCGGCAGAGGAGACUGGAAUUCCUGGUGUAGCAGUGAAAUGCGUAGAUAUCAGGAGGAACACCGAUGGCGAAGGCAGGUCUCUGGGCUGACACUGACGCUCAUGCACGAAAGCGUGGGGAGCAAACAGG
Molecule: ribosomal RNA, 253 nt
Filed under: uncultured bacterium
Lineage: Bacteria
Description: partial 16S ribosomal RNA
Rfam family: Bacterial small subunit ribosomal RNA
Source: RNAcentral